This is a non-coding RNA of Pelobates cultripes (western spadefoot toad), 774 nucleotides long. NCBI's taxonomy places the organism in Eukaryota, Metazoa, Chordata, Amphibia, Anura, Pelobatidae. The record is from the annotation of a GenBank genome assembly.
GGGUAUGCACGGGCUUCUAAAGCAGGGGGCCGGGCCUGUGUGUAUUCAGGAGGAGGAGGAGGGGGAAGCUGAGGAAACUGUGGGUGAGGCAGGGCAGGGAGGUAACCUGUGGAGGGGAAGCUAAAGCCGGAGACAUGUGGACUAGUGUACCGGGGAAGUUGUGGGCGGAACACUCUGGGGUGAGGGCAAUCUCUUUUGAAGUGGCCGGUCUGAUUACAGUUAAAACAGGUCCUGAUUGUCGUGAGGGUCCGGUCCCGGGAAGAGGGAACAGAUGCAGAAAGGGUUUGGGGCUGCUGAGGGUGUUGUUGGGUUAAUACCUGCGGAACAUGGGUAGAACCAGUGAUUGGUGUGGGUGUAGUAAACAUCAGUGGGCUAGCUCUCCUUUGUGUGGGCUGUAAAACUGAUUCUAAACCCUUGGCUACCAACAGGAGUGUGUCAAGUGUUAUAAUCCUGUACUCUGGACGAGAUAAAAUUAACCCCUUACGAAUGUGUUCUUUAAGACCAGCCACGAAGGCUGCAGAUAACAUCUGGGUGUGAGCUUUGUUAUAGGUACUGAACCCUAAGUCUGAGAAAGUCUGAGUUAACCUAGAGUGAUAUUUUUCAACAGUUUCAAGUUUUUCCUGUAUAAUAUCAUUUAUACAAGUAGCCUGGUCAGCUAGUUUAUCCUGUGCCCAAGCUCGGAGUUGUUCACAGAAGAUAAUACCAGAACGAAAAUCUGUAUCAGAAGUGAGUGGAGCAUCAUUAAAGCUCCUUGCCAUGAUUGGCCAGUAUGCA